Molecule: long non-coding RNA, 1791 nt
Organism: Polypterus senegalus (gray bichir)
Lineage: Eukaryota; Metazoa; Chordata; Cladistia; Polypteriformes; Polypteridae
Exons: 3
Source: RefSeq, a predicted model, not a curated record
GUGAUUUUUUUUUUUUCAUUUUUAAUAAUUAUUCUGUAAACAUUAUAUUAAAGGUGAUUUAUCGCAUUAGGGGUUUAUUUACAUUUGUCUUGUUCUUGAUGGUCCCUUUAAAGAUCUGAAGCCUUACUUCUAUCAUUUCAAGCCGCCAUUUUGUUUUGCUGUGACUCUCCUCCAUUUUCGCAUUUGUUGUCCGUGACUGAUGGUCCUGGGGUGUGCUGCAUGUGACGUCAUUGCAGUGACUAAAUAAAGGUUGGCGCACGCAUCCCGAGAUUAUCCAAGCGGUGCAUAUUGCGGUUGCAAUUCUUGAUUUAAUUGGUUUCUUGUCACUUCACUUUCUUGCUUACUUUUUCGACUUGAAUGUCGGUGAUGUUAGACUUCUUGGUUGCUUCUUCUGUCUGCUUAUCUCUUUGUCUCGCCCUUCACGACUGUACAUGUAGGAUGUGAGCUCGAAGCUCUGCUUAGUCUUGAGGUUUUCCAUCCUUCAGAUCCCAAUGUUUGUUGAGGUCUCCCAGCAUUUCGUGGUCUUCUCACAUUGCUGUCUUUUCGACAGAUCCAGCCCUCCACUUCUCUAAGUGCUGUUAAGGACCUGACUGGAAGCCUCAUGGAGCCCUCAAGGUGUUCGUGUGGGAAGAUGAGGACCCCCUGGAGUUGGUGGAAGACCAAGGGGUGGGGCUACCCUGACAUCACUGCAGAAGGACCGCCCUCAGCCUGUAUACUGCCUCACGUCCUUUCGCUAUAGAGAAUGCACUCAGAAGAUGACAUUUUUUCCUUCUCAUGUGUGUUCCCACUGUUGCUGUAGGCUGAGAGAAAUCCUACAAUCGGAAGAUUUCAAUCUCGUUGCUUGUGUGUGAUGAAUUUUUCUGAUCGGAGCUUUUUUGGCUCACCACUCCAACAGUUUAGGAAGAAAAAAAAUGUUUUUCCAAUAAACAUCAUCUGAGACUGGAAGCUGAACUGGCUCACGGGGCCUACUGGCUGCUGUGUACUGCGGACCCGACAGGCGGCUCUCAAGUGUGCCGGCGGUGGCUCCAGGCAGAGGGUUGUUGCUCUUAUCAGCUCCUUUAUACAAUGCUGCUCUCCUUCCAAAAAAUGAAAAGUAAAUGUUUUAGUAAUUCUAAAAGUCUAAGUACCUAAAGAUGUAAUGGAUACGCUUGUUGGACCUUUAAGUUUUUCCUUCUCCCUGUUUUUUAUUUAAACCACACUACUUUCCACUCCGCUUUCUCUUUCCCCGGCACUGGAAAAAUGAAACUUCCUGCAGCGCUGAGGAUUUGCUUUUAACCGGCGAUGCUGCAAUUUGAUCAGCACUCAUGGCCUCCAUGGCUAAUUAUUUCAUUUUUAUUUUCCUGCCAGUCACUCUAAAUUGUUUUUGAAAAAGGUGGGGUGUGACAAUCCUGUCCCCUCUCCUGCUCUUCACCCGUCACUCUUUUGGGCUUGAAUCCAAAACGUGUGCUGGCUGCUUGUGACCACUGGGGCACUUUGGCCAAUCUUUUAAACUAGCGUUGGCCAGCUUUCCUAGUUUUAUGAAUCUGUGACUUCAGUUUGGUCAGUUGUUUCAAUUCUGUUAAUUUAUUUUAACCAGUAGGGGGCACCACUGAGCCCUAAACCGCAGACACAGCGCCACCCAACACACCUCGAUGUUCAAAUUAAAUCUGCAGCACACUGCUCUGCUGCUCCUUCUGCCCUCCCUGUGAGUGUCACCCACCGCCUUGGCUGCCGAGGACACGCAGUGGGCUUCUUUUAAACCAUGUGACAGAUAGGGGGCGCUGUCGUCCCCUUGAACCCUCGGAUUAGAUG